GGGCCCGCACAAGCGGUGGAGCAUGUGGUUUAAUUCGAAGCAACGCGAAGAACCUUACCAGGUCUUGACAUCCUUUGACCACUCUAGAGAUAGAGCUUCCCCUUCGGGGGCAAAGUGACAGGUGGUGCAUGGUUGUCGUCAGCUCGUGUCGUGAGAUGUUGGGUUAAGUCCCGCAACGAGCGCAACCCUUAUUGUUAGUUGCCAUCAUUUAGUUGGGUCGACUCUAGCGAGAACUGCCGGUGGACAAACCGGAACGGAAGGUAGGGG
RNAcentral lists this ribosomal RNA (267 nucleotides) under uncultured prokaryote. Its description in RNAcentral is "partial 16S ribosomal RNA". It matches the Rfam family "Bacterial small subunit ribosomal RNA", at positions 917 to 1179 of the family's 1533-position model. The record is from RNAcentral.